UGGGGAAUAUUGCACAAUGGGCGAAAGCCUGAUGCAGCAACGCCGCGUGAGUGAUGAAGGUCUUCGGAUUGUAAAGCUCUGUCUUUUGGGACGAUAAUGACGGUACCAAAGGAGGAAGCCACGGCUAACUACGUGCCAGCAGCCGCGGUAAUACGUAGGUGGCGAGCGUUGUCCGGAUUUACUGGGCGUAAAGGGUGCGUAGGCGGAUGUUUAAGUGAGAUGUGAAAUACCCGGGCUUAACUUGGGUGCUGCAUUUCAAACUGGAUAUCUAGAGUGCAGGAGAGGAGAAUGGAAUUCCUAGUGUAGCGGUGAAAUGCGUAGAGAUUAGGAAGAACACCAGUGGCGAAGGCGAUUCUCUGGACUGUAACUGACGCUGAGGCACGAAAGCGUGGGUAGCAAACAGGAUUAGAUACCCUGGUAGUCCACGCCGUAAAACGAUGAGUACUAGGUGUAGGAGGUAUCGACCCCUUCUGUGCCGCAGUAAAACACAUUAAAGUACU
This 500-nucleotide ribosomal RNA is filed under the name uncultured bacterium. RNAcentral's name for it is "partial 16S ribosomal RNA". It matches the Rfam family "Bacterial small subunit ribosomal RNA", at positions 355 to 868 of the family's 1533-position model. The record is from RNAcentral.